Molecule: long non-coding RNA, 3674 nt
Organism: Triticum aestivum (bread wheat)
Lineage: Eukaryota; Viridiplantae; Streptophyta; Magnoliopsida; Poales; Poaceae
Exons: 3
Source: RefSeq, a predicted model, not a curated record
CCUCCGAUUCGAUGGAAUCACGCGGAACCGCUCGCUCUCGGUAGAGAAACUCUAUCGUCUCUCCCUCUGUCGAACUACACCGCUUCUCCCUCGUCUCUCCCUCCGCCGAUCUGCGCCGAAUCAACAACACAGAAGAUGGUCGAGCGGCUGCGGGCUAGAGGGCUUGCACCGGGGCGGCCCCAUACCGCAGGAUUUGGAGCGGCGGCGGCGGCGGCUCCCGAAACAAGACGCCGCGGCGAUGCACCUCACGCUGCACCUCACGCGACGGCGGCAGGAACCUAGCUCGCCUCAAGCGGCAGCGAAAGGGGAAGCACCCGGUCAUGGAUGGUUCUUGCCAACGGCGGCGUCCAAUUUGGCAGGCAGUUCGACCUGUUCCAAAUUGUUUGUGCUGCUAUGCUGGGCGAUGCCAUACUAUCCUGGCGCCCCAAACUUUAGAUCCAUAUACGUUCAGUUUAUGCAUAGUGUUCAUGUGGUGAAGCAUGAACUAGAGGGGAAGAAUAUAUUUUGUCAUGCUUCACAUUGUAAAUUGUUUGUGUUGCAAAAUUUACCAAUUACAUCUCUUCAGUUCAUGCGUGUGACACUGUCAAAUUUAGAGGGGAAGAAUUUAUUUGUCAUUCAGUUCAUGCUUAUGACACAGUCAAAUCCGGUUGUCAUUCAGUUUAUGCAUAGUGUCAUAGUUUAUGUGCCGAUGCAUUGACAAAUUUACCGAUUCCAUCUCUUCAACCAAACGCACUAACAAAACCAUUCCGUUCCAGCUUUUGACACCAACCAAACACAUGACAGGAAUCGACCCAUUCCAUUGGAAUGGAACGGAACGGAACCAUUCCAUUCCAUUCCAUUUGGUUCCUCAACCAAACACACCGUUAAUAUAGCGGGUGCUAGAGCUGCACUUAACCUUGGUAGCACAAUGCUUGGGUUCUACCCUCUUAGAGUCUUGCCUUCAAAGACAACUAUCUUACCUGUGAAUCCAGAAAUUCUUCCGGUGGUAGGUUGUUUGAUGUUUCACCUUCUGCCAGCUCUAUUCUACUUUAUCCACAAUACUAACAACAAUAUCCUAUUCUUCCUGGCCCGUAGAUGGAGGAUUAGAAAGAAAUGGUCCUAUAAACGGUUUAUUGUAAGAUAUGGAUAAGAAGGUACACACUCAUGUUCUACUUUGACAUCGUAUUCUCUUUCAUUUUCUCAUCUUACAUUUUUUUUAUUUCAAGACACCGCAAUCAAAUCAGAUGUUUAAUUACAAUUUACAUGUUUUCUCUGCAGGUUACUCAAUUAGAUGUAAAUAGUUUCUUUGAAGAACUUUGUGGUGAGGUGAGUUAUGGCGCAUAUCCAAUCAUCGUGUCGCAUAGCUUCUAAGCUAUGUUGAUUGCCCUGGUGAGUGACAGUGAUAUCUUUGGGGAAGCUUCAGAAAGUACAUCAACUUCUGCAACAUCUGUAGCUACUGCAGAUCUUACGAGUAUUGAUCAGCUUCUCAAAACAUUAAUGAGCCAGGAUGAAGUUCGAGAAGUUGCAUUACACCAUGUAAAUAUUAAGGUUCCACUUUAAUGAGCUGUGGAAGACAAGUGCACCGGUAAGUGUUCGAAAUUUUAAGUGUGUCGGUGGAAGUGGAAGGGGGAUUGUGAGUUGGAUCUGUCAUUAACAGAGGUGGUGAACUUGGAUUGGUCAUGUAGACAUAGCUCAUGGAGAAAUAAGAAGAUGAUGAAGAGCGAUUUAUGGGUAAAAAAAUAUAGUGAAUAGAUUUGCAUGUGAAGUCAAGUGUAUAUGCCCAGACUCGAGCAGGUUCGCUAUUAUUGUUGUUCUUGUGUGUCAAGGCUUUUGGCUGCAGACUUGCAGGUAUACAUACGAGUCCAUGCUUAAUUUUUGUUAUGUUUCUUACUUACCACUGUUAUUUCUAGCAGAAGGGGCAGCUGGGGCAUGGGGACGCUCUUGCGUAACCUCUAGCUGUUGUUUCUAAACUAUGAAAGUAAGAGAAUCGUAUGCACUGCCCUUCAUUUUAAUUGUGUAAACAUGUGUGUAUCGUAUUGCUAAAUCCAUGAACAUAUAGCAUCCAACAUACUUGAACUUAAUAGUCCAACAACAUUACAUGUUUUCUCGACAUGUUUCCAAAUGCUAAUUAGAAGUUGUCAGUUCUGCAGAUACAACAUAAUUCCAGCAGCUGUUGGAAGAAAUCACACGGUGGUUGUAACUAGCGAAGGGGAAAUGCUUUUCAUUUGGUGACAACAUGCAUGGGCGGGAGGGGUUCACCAAGGAGUGGUCGACUCCCUCGUCUGUUGCUUUUUUUCUUUAUGGUUGAUAGAUGACACAACUACAGAAGUGCAGUAAAUACGACUUAUAUUGUCACCUGUUCUUACAACCUACCUGUUUGGGUGAUAAUGAAACCAAGAAAAAUAUGGCGGCCAUUAGUCAGGGUUUCACAAGUCAUGUAUAGAUCUUUUAGUUUUGUGGCCUACACGCUUAUGUAUAAUAUUUAUCUGUUGAUAAUCAUCUUUGUCAUAUAUUGUGAAGGACAUGAAAAAUGAUGUGUUUCAACAACCAUGAAGAGCAUUAGUUUGGUGUUUUAAAAAUCUUGUUAGUCACAAUCUUAUGACUGUUUUAGACGGAAAAAAAUCAAUUGACAAAUCUAAUGACUUCGUUUAUGCUAUACAGGUGAGUGAUAAGCUUGAUCAUCGGAGCUUGUGAAACCGUGUGAGAUUUUGAAUCCCCACAACAAGCCCGAGAGGCUGGCACUAAUCAUGAGGAUGGGGGCUGAGAAGAUGCAUGACAAGCUCCCCCAUAUGAUCAGAGUCGUGCGUUAAGCAGUGCUGAUUGUCACCUAGGUCAGCGAUCCCAUGCACCGGAACACCACCAGCGCAUCUUGCACGUUCAAGACAGGACCAUUCGAUGCAAUCCGGAUAAGCAUGAUAACUUUUUGCAUAAUUCGACAUAGAACAACCUACCUAUAUCUGAUUUUUCACGUCAGUUGUUAUGGAACCACAUGCCAUUUAGACAUCCAAUAGCAUUGUUUGGACUUGUCAACUUUGGCAUUGCAUGGUUCUGAAUUUUCACUGGUUGUGUAGGCUGAGGCUUUGUUUGAUGUCCAUGAGUGAGAGGGAGCUACCCUGGAAGGGUUCACCUAGAAAUGACAUGGCAGAACAUUACAGAGUGCAUUGGUGAAUCCAACACAAUGACCUGAAAUCAUCUCAUUUCCCGCUACCACACACACUGCGACCCCAGGCUGAAUGCGUCACAGUCGCUCGAGCUGACCUUCACCAUUUCCGAUAGGCUAAGGAAGAAGGACAUGGAAUAACCUCAUAUCUAGGGUACAAGCUUAAGAUAUCUAUCUUAUGUUUCUUCCCUGCAAAACCCUCUUCUGCUGCUAGAGGACAUAAUUUUACAUUCUUUAGUUUUUUUAGUAGUAUAGGUGGCGUUUGAUUUUGGAAAUACCAAGGAAAAAUCCCCCUCAAAUAAUAGGAUAUAGUUGUUUUGUUGCAUUACCAUUUGUGCUUAGUUCAAUUUCUUUUGUGUUCAUCCUUUCUUUGAUGCAGAUAGUGUGAGGGAGAUUACAGGAGACAUGACAAUAGAUUACUCAUUCUCUAUCCGCUGAGAUUGUACAUAAUGUUUAUUGAUUAAAUUUGGAAAUGUAAUCUGAGAAGUAAGGGCAUCUAUAGCGCUUCCCUAAAUUUUAAGUCCUCAAAAGACAC